Molecule: long non-coding RNA, 4759 nt
Filed under: Mus musculus (house mouse)
Lineage: Eukaryota; Metazoa; Chordata; Mammalia; Rodentia; Muridae
Description: predicted gene 10484
Source: RNAcentral
AAGAAGGCAGUGUUCAGGCCCUCGGCUGUCUCUGUAGAAAUGGUGGUAGUAGGAAAGAGAGUCCAAAGGGAGAUUAUUACGUUUUUAAGAGUUAUUUUUAAAGUUUUCAAUUUCACAUCAUUUUUAAAUUUUAAUUUUCAAUAAAAUUCUAUAUGUUCAAUUGCAUAUGGUUUAGAAAUUAAAGCUAUUUCCGACAAGGGUCUUGUUUGCCAUGGGAUUUUCCUUAAUUAUCCACAUCUUGUAUGAAUGUGGCACUUGUGUUACAAAUGAUCACGGGAUACUGAUAUGCCACUAUGAAUUGAAUAUACUGAUAUGCCACUAUGAAUUGAAGCCACAGUCUGUAUGAGGAUUCCUUCUGCUGUUUGUGGAGACGAUAUCACAUAGUAACAUCCUUGUAGUAACACACAGAACACGUUCACACCUUUAAGUAUGUAUUCUACCAAUCACUCUGCCACUGCCAGCCACUCCUCGUAUUUGCCACCUCUAUAGCUUUCUUUUCAGCAUCUGGCAUGGUUAGAACCAGAGUGCCCAGCUGUUUUAUAAACACUUCUCCACAGAGUAAUAUGCACUUAGAGGCCAUGCCUAUUGUUUUGUUGAUUGGUAGCUCAUUAAAAUCAAUAGUGUUUCACUCUAUAAGUGUGUCAUAAAUUAUCUACUUGUUUACUCCAAAGUUGCUUUAAGUUUAACCAAAGUGGCUAUGGAUAUUCCUUUUUUUUUAAAGGAUGCGUUUAUUUUUAUGUUUAUGAGAGGGUUUUUGUUUUUGUUUUUGCCUAGAUAUGUUUAAAUAUACCACAUGCAUGCCUGGUUCCUCAUAAGGAACCUGUACAUCAUAAGAGGACAUCAGAUCUCUGGAGCUGGAGUUAUAGACAAGUAGGAGUCACUUCACUGUAUGUGAACUAGAACCAAACUCAGCUCCUAUGCAAGAAUAGCAAACACUGUUAACACCAAGUCAAUCUCCAGUCCAUUGCUACAUACAUUCUUUAUAUUCAUUCUUUCUUUAUAUACAUUAUAUACACUCUUUAUAUACAUACUUUCACGUUUUCAGUCCAUUGCUAUAUACAUUCUUUCACGUUUUCAGUCCAUUGCUAUAUACAUUCUUUAUAUACAUUCUUUUGCGUUUUCAGUUCAUUGCUAUAUACAUUCUUUCACGUUUUCAGUCCAUUGCUACAUACAUUCUUUAUAUACAUUCUUUCACGUUUUCAGUCCGUUGCUACAUACAUUCUUUAUAUACAUUCUUUCACGUUUUCAGUCCAUUGCUACAUACAUUCUUUAUAUACAUUCUUUCACGUUUUCAGUCCAUUGCUAUAUACAUUCUUUAUAUACAUUCUUUCACGUUUUCAGUCCAUUGCUACAUACAUUCUUUAUAUACAUUCUUUCACGUUUUCAGUCCAUUGCUGUAUACAUUCUUUAUAUACAUUCUUUCACGUUUUCAGUCCAUUGCUACAUACAUUCUUUAUAUACAUUCUUUAUAUACAUUAUAUACAUUCUUUCUUUCAUGUUUUCAGAUGAACAUAAGGGUUCAGUUCACUUAGUGCUAUAUUAGACUUUGUCACUGUCACCAAACAUUAAUGGAAAGAAGAUCAAAGACAAAACGUUUAUUUUAGCUCACAGCUUCAGGGCUUUGGUCCAUGGUUGGCUGCUGCAUUGGCCAUGAAACAGGAAUGUGACAGUAGAAGGGCAUGGUGGGUGAAAGCUGCUCAACUUUUAGAAGUGUGGAAGCAGACAGGACUUACAGCAAGAGAAAAAGCACAGCCCAGUGACCUCUUUCAGCUCACCUCCUAAAGUCUCCAGCACUUCCAACUAUCCCAAUAAUGCUACCCACUGAGACUAAGCCUUUGGUGCAGGGAUCUCUAGGAGUUACUCUUGAUCUGAACCAUAACAGGUACCGACUUUCUUUUAACUAUCGCUGAAAUGAGGUAGAUAUUCAGUGUAUGUGUUAGGAUCAAAAACUAAACAACACCCCCUCCCGUGAAAACCCCACCAUUGAUGUUGAAUGGCAGAUUAGUGACUAUUAUAUGUGUAGAGAUGUGUUAGGAGAGUAUAAGGAUACCCUGGAAGGACAUUGAAAAAAAUGACCUUACAUUUGCUUGUUUAUUUGUUUGUAUGUAUGUAUGUAUGUAUAUAUGUAUGUAUGUGUGCACAUCUGUCACGGCACAUGUGUGGAAGGUUGUAGGAGUUAGAUCUCUCUUGUCAAGUUUGGCCCAAUAUGCAGAGUCAUCUCACCAGCCAUGGAAGGCAUUUUACUCACAUUAAUAGUCAGAGAAGUAGGAACUAAAUGCUUAAGUCCUUAUGCAAACUUAAUUCAAUGGUUAUAAAACCUUUUUAAAAAAGGAUUUAUUUAUUUAUGUGGUGUGUGUGUGUGUGUGUGUGUGUGUGUGUGUGUGUGUGUGUGUGUGAAGCAUGUGCAGGUGCCCACAAGGCCAGAAGAGAGUCAGAUCCCUUGGGGCUGGAAUUAUCAGAGUUGUGAGCCACCUAGUAUGUACGCUAGGAACCUAAGCAGGGUUCUGGAAGAGUGGCAAGCAUUCUGCACCUCUGAGUUCUUUCUAGCCCUCUAUAAACACUUUAACUGCCUUUAGACUUGAUAAGUUUAAUAUGCUUGGUUCUCUUUAAGCAUUCAAAUGUUGUGAUUUUACAGCCAUCACUCUUUGAGUUCUUAACCUCUUCUUAUAAACCUAAUUAAACACAUAUUUGAAAUGUAGCUCAUCUAAAGCACUUCAAUGUUGUGGGAAACUGUUAAAAUUCUUUCAUAUGUUUCCAUUAAUCUGAAGUUUAGCAUAAAUUAAAAUUACAAGCAUAGUUUGUUGACAUGUGAAACUUAUAAGCAUAAUAAACACAACAUUAACUAACUACAAAAUUCUGUCCAAGUGAUUAUGUACUGAUUCUUAAAUUUACCAUCGAAGGUUUAAAAUAUUAUGGUUUUGAUUUGGAAUCACAAUGUUGCUGCUUAAAACUAAAUAUUCACAGUGUUCUUGUGCCCACGGUGAUCUAGAGUGACCGCCAGUAAUGGUAGCCUUGUUUUAUGAAGUGAGGUAGGUGACUUGCAUAGCUAGAAGUCAGGAGAAGGUGAUAGGUGCCAUUUGUGUCUAGUGUCCUGCUCUCCCCAUGGUUGGUAAGGGAUCAUUUGAUGUAGCCCUUGUCACUAAGGGCUUGCUUCUGCCCUGAAUCCUCUCCUUUUCUGUUUAAGACAGGUGCAUUUCCCUCCUUUCAAACAGUCUUUCCACCUUUUCAUUGAAAGAUUUACCCUUUUUUUUUUUUUAUCUCUCUUCCUAUUGGUGAGGUCUGAACUCUGUUUUCCAGGCUAAAAUGGCCUUCUCAUUGGCUUUAUAUCCCAUCAGUCUAUGCCUUUAGGCAGACUGUUCUCAAUAUUGCUUUUGACUACUCAGCUCAGAUGAGGCUCUGCCUUAGGACCUUCAGGUGUCUGUUGCCCCAUCCUCUCCUUUCUGACAUCACAUAUUAGAAUGUCCAUCUUUAACCUGUCAGUCACAGCUCUCUCAGCUCUCUCUGCUCAUGGUUUGCCUCUUCAAAGUUUCUCUAAUCACCUUUUCUGAUUUGUGCUUCCUCUUGUCAUCCUCCCUCUUUCUGACCUACUCCCAGACAUUCUAUGGUCUCUUCACUAGAAAAUAUUGUCCUUACUGAUUACUGGCCUUCUUGCAAAUAAUUUAUUUAUCAUACAGUUGUAUUGCAGUGACUUCAGCUUCCUGAUACUUGCUGGCACUAAUGUGUUCAGCAGCGUAUGAGUCAGAUGUACAUGUUGAGUGAAGAAAGAAUGGCUCCUAUUUAGACGGAAAGCCCAGGGGAAAGCAGUGGAUUUACCUAUCUGGUUUAUAGCUGCAUGGUAGCACCUCUGCUAUACCAGGCUCUGAUACAUUCUGAAUGAAUGAUGGGCAGUUUUCUGUUUGGAACUCUGUGUGACAUUUCAAAUCCUAGUUUUAACUCUGUCUUAGUUAGUGUUUUAUUGCUCUGAAGAGACACCAUGACCAAGACAAUUUGUAUAAUGGUAAACACUUAAUUGGGUCUGGCUUACAGUUUCAGAGGCUCAGUCCAUUAUAGUCAUAGUGAGGAAGCAUGGAAGUAUGCAGGCAGACUUGGUGUUGGGGAGCCAAGAGUUUUACAUCUUGAUGAGAGGGCAGCCAGGAGAAAACAGACUCUUCUGCAGGCAGCCAAGAGGAGGCUCGCUUUAACACUGGGUGGAGCCUCAGCUUAGAGCCUCAAAAUCCAACCCCACAGUGUUGAAUUUUCCCUCACAAGGCCAUACCUACUCCACCAAGGCCACACCUCUAAAUAGUGCCACUUCCCGUGGGCCAAGUAUAUUCAAACCACAGAUUUAACUGACCAUGUUUUCUGCAUGAUGGACAACUGAUCUUUCACCUCCCUAGUCCCAGUGAUAGUAUAGUCAAAGGAGUUUUGUAGGUUAUACCAGGGAGGCUGAGUUAAAGUAACUGUGAUCACUCCGUUAGCUUGUUGGCUUGAUUUUUUUCUUUUGUCUUACAUUUUUAUGUCAAGAAAAAAACAGAAGACCAUUAUUGUAAGCACAAAGCCAAGAAUAAGAUGGAAUACUUAAAAUGAUUGGAGGACUUAUCAUUGCUAAAGUAACUUGUCAUCUCUGGCAAAGGACUGACAUUAAACACUGCCAUUUAUAAAAUGAUUUUAUGUACAGAGUAAUUUAUAGUAAAACUCACAGUAUUUAAAGUAAGAUAAGUAUGUUCAAAAGGAAUAGACCUGAAAAUCCCUAAGUAAAAUUGCCUUUGAAAAAUAUCCG